Molecule: long non-coding RNA, 2805 nt
Organism: Loxodonta africana (African savanna elephant)
Lineage: Eukaryota; Metazoa; Chordata; Mammalia; Proboscidea; Elephantidae
Exons: 4
Source: RefSeq, a predicted model, not a curated record
CCCAAAUAUGGGGAGCAGUCCCUCCUCUGGGCUAGGGACUUUGUUUCCUCCAUUGUCAUCACUGACUGUGAGCAGACUCUAGUCUAUGCAGACUAAUGAGGAGUUAUCAAAAUGAGCUCCAAACUCCGGAUUUGAGUUAAGGAUCAUAAAUUAACACAGAGAAAUAUGACUUUAGCAAUAAGUGACUGUUUGAAGCCCAAGUUGCCUUAAAACACGGAAUUUCAGUCUUUCAGCUCCUCUGCUAAUCUAGUGACUAAGAACAGGAUCUCACUGGAGCUCAAAGAUGUGGGGCACUGGGAAUACUCUGGGUCUGUCUGCUCACGGCUGAUUGCCUGAUCCCAGUUUUAUUAUACAGCUUAAAUACAGACCAGAAGAGGAGUUUGGGGCUUGACACCUGACAUCUUAACACCAGUUCCUGUUUCUUGAGGAAGGAAGAGGUAAAAUAAAUCAGCAUUUACUGUGUCCUUCUCCAUCCCCGGAAGUCUUCAUGAAGACCCUCUCAGCUUCUACUUGAACGUGAAUAUGAGCAACUGAUCAUCUGUUCUGCAGUCAGCCCCUGGCCUGAUUCUGACUCAUGGUAUUGACCUUCUCCAUCAUCACCUUCCACAAAUUUGAUUCCUAUCUAUUCUGCCUGGAAUGGUUCACGAGUAUAGUCACCAUUUAUGUUCCUGACGAAAGCAGGUGAAGGCAUUCGUGGAGAGAGGCGAUUUCCAUGCGUGCAGCAAAGUGUGUGCUGAGAUGAUGAGUCGCUGGAGACCGGGGUGGACUCUUCAGACCCAGGAUAGGCCUCUGGCAGGCACUCUAUCAGGCACUCCAAGCUGUGAAGUGACUCAGGGAGAGAAGGAAGAGAUUUCAGAGAAUGAACACAUACAGAGAGAGAGGCAAGAGAUGCUGAGUGAGGAUGUCUUGCGUACUGAUAUCCUGAGGAAAGUGGGAAAAUUGGACCCUGGCCUGCUCUGCCAAUGCCGUGAAGCAGUCCGCACCAGGGGCUCCCUUGUGCCUGCGUAGCCUUUCCCAGGGUGUGCUCAAAUCCUGUGGCCACUAGGUGUCCUAGGUCACAAUGGAGGACCCUGUGUCAUCUGCCUGGUGGACUGGAUCUCUGCCAUUGGCUGAGUCUUGUCACCAGGCCCAUCAUAAGCUCUGCCCACUCUUCCGGUGGGGAGACUCUCUCCAUGGUGAUGGCAAAGAAACCUUAGUCCCGCCCACCUGGCCUUGACUUCACCUACCUGGCCUGCUGACCCUCACUCAGACCUCUGUGUCGAUCAAAAUGAAUGUUCACCAGUUGCCCGGUGUCAGCAUCUGGUAUAAAGGAUUCGGGACCUUGCCUGAGGCAGAAGGCAGCCUAGGUCUGCGGGUACCUGGAAGUCUAGUGACUUGUGACGCUGCUGCCAGUGAGAAAUGGUGACUCCCAUACUCACAUAUCCCCUGGUGGCAGAAUGAUAGUGAUGGGUGGAGAAACAUGGUUCCGGAGCACACGUUCAGUCGGGCACCGGCCAAAUGCCACGGCCAGGAGUGGACGUUGUGGAGCUGCAUGGCGAGCCAGUGAAGGGCCCAAGGAUUUCUCCAAUGAGGCAAAAUGCAGAUCAAGCCAAGGAACAUAAAGAUAAAGCAGCUGAAGAAAUUAAAAAGGUUACUCAAGAACAUAGUUAAAAAUUUAAUAAGCUGCAAGAAACCAUAGAGAGACUGCAAUCAGAGAUUCAGAAGAUUAACAAUAAAAUUACAGAGUUAGAAAACUCAAUAGAAAGUAAGAAGAGCACAACUGAGGAAUUGGAAGGCAGAAUUACUGAGAUUGAAGGUGAAACUCUUGGGACUAAUAUAUUUGAAGAGAAAGCAGAUAAAAGAAAUUUAAAUGAAGAAAUCCAAAGAAUCAUAUGGGACUUUAUCAAGAGAAAUAACUAUGAGUGAUUUCAGUACCAGAACAGGGAGGGCUAACAGAAAAUACAAAGGGAACUGUUGAAGAUUUGUUGGCAGAAAACUUCCAUGAUAUCAUGAAAGAUGCUCAUCGAAUUCCACAUAAGGUAGAUCUCAAAAGAAAGUGACCGAGACACAUAAUAAUCAAACUUGCCAAAAUCAAAUAUAAAGAGAAUUUUAAGAGAGGCUAGGGAUAAAGGAAGUCACCAACAAAGGAGAGUAAAUAAUAAAAAACUUGGACUACUCAGCAGAAAUCAUGCAGGCAAGAAGGCAAAGGGAUGACUUACACAAAAUAUUGAAGGAAAAAAAUUGCCAGCCAGGAAUCAAACCAUAACCCUGGCCCUCUGGCCUUCGGGCCCUCUGGCCUUAGCCCUCUAACUCUAGCCCCUAAGCCCUGAGCCCCAAAGCCCCUAAGACCCUAAGCCCUUAGGUCCUAACCCCCAAGGCCCUAAACCCUAACCCUAACCCAAACCCUAACCCCUAUAGCCUAAACUCUACAACCUAAACACCUACACCCCAAAACACUACACAUCAAAACCCUACACACUAAACCCUAUACUCUAAGCCUCAAACCCUAAACCCAAACCUCAAAUUCCAAACCCUAAACCUAACCGUAAACCCUAAACCCUAACACCUAACCCUAACCCCUAACCACCCUAACCCUAAUGACCCUAACCCUAACCCUCGAACCCUAACCCUCUAACGCUAACAUGAAACCCUAAUCCGAAACCCUAACCCUCUAACUCUAACCUCUAACCCUCUAACCCUAGCCCUAAUCCUAACCCCAACCUCCAAACCUAACCCCAAACCCUAAACCUCAAAUCCCUAGCCCUAAACCUAAGAAUGAGCCUAAGCCUAACCCUAUCACUUAACUCUAAACCCUAAACCAUAACA